Molecule: long non-coding RNA, 331 nt
Organism: Heterocephalus glaber (naked mole-rat)
Lineage: Eukaryota; Metazoa; Chordata; Mammalia; Rodentia; Bathyergidae
Source: Ensembl
CUGCCUUGGAGCCAGCCCAUUAUGGACUGAAACCUCUAUGAACUAUGGCAUCACAGUGGAAGGAGAACUUGUGAGAGGAAAAGAUCACAUGACAAGACAGGAAGCCAGAGAAGCAGAUCCAGUGCAAGGCUCCCUGCAGCACUCUACAGCACAUCUUUAAGCAACAGAUGCCUUCUGUCAAUCUGGAGACAAGUGGUGACAUCCAGAGAUAAGAUGGAAUGGUCCAUCUGACCAAGUCAUUAUUCACUGAUCAGCAGCAGAGCCCAUGACAAAUGCCUGUGUGAAUAAGUGUGGAGCCAUCAGAGAGGAGCAUACGCUGCCAGUAGCAAAG